This 498-nucleotide ribosomal RNA is filed under the name uncultured bacterium. Its description in RNAcentral is "partial 16S ribosomal RNA". It matches the Rfam family "Bacterial small subunit ribosomal RNA", at positions 30 to 523 of the family's 1533-position model. The record is from RNAcentral.
AUUGAACGCUGGCGGCAUGCCUUACACAUGCAAGUCGAACGGUAACGGGCCUUCGGGUGCCGACGAGUGGCGAACGGGUGAGUAAUGCAUAGGAACGUACCUUUCAGUGGGGGAUAACGUAGCGAAAGUUACGCUAAUACCGCAUAUUCUGUGAGCAGGAAAGCAGGGGAUCGCAAGACCUUGCGCUGAUUGAGCGGCCGAUGUCAGAUUAGCUAGUUGGUGAGGUAAAGGCUCACCAAGGCGACGAUCUGUAGCGGGUCUGAGAGGAUGAUCCGCCACACUGGGACUGAGACACGGCCCAGACUCCUACGGGAGGCAGCAGUGGGGAAUUUUGGACAAUGGGGGCAACCCUGAUCCAGCCAUGCCGCGUGAGUGAAGAAGGCCUUCGGGUUGUAAAGCUCUUUCGGCCGGGAAGAAAUCGCACAGGCUAAUACCUUGUGUGGAUGACGGUACCGGAAUAAGAAGCACCGGCUAACUACGUGCCAGCAGCCGCCGUAA